Mesocricetus auratus (golden hamster) is the source of this 2261-nucleotide RNA transcript. It is a transcript of the gene named cyclin dependent kinase inhibitor 2C, with no coding region annotated. Lineage: Eukaryota; Metazoa; Chordata; Mammalia; Rodentia; Cricetidae. The record is from RefSeq and is a predicted model, not a curated record. The transcript has 4 exons.
AAUGGGCUCAGUUUUGCUGAAUAAUCACGUGUGAAUCAAGGGGCGGGCUUUUGGCAGGCCGACCUUACUAGUAUUUACUACCAAGCUCUACUCCAGAUUAACCAUCCCAGUCCUUCUGUCAGCCUCCGAUGCCAUCAUGCAGCCUGAUUAGGAGCAAAGGAAAAGGGGAAAGGAGAAGCCACUAAUCGUCUUUUCCCGAUCGUCAGGACCCUAAAGAAUGGCCGAGCCUUGGGGGAACGAGUUGGCGUCCGCAGCUGCCAGGGGGGACCUAGAGCAACUUACUAGUUUGUUGCAAAAUAAUGUAAACGUCAACGCUCAAAAUGGAUUUGGGAGAACUGCGCUGCAGGUUAUGAAACUUGGAAAUCCAGAGAUUGCCAGGAGACUUCUACUCAGAGGUGCUAAUCCCAAUUUGAAAGACCGAACUGGUUUCGCUGUCAUUCAUGAUGCAGCCAGAGCAGGUUUCCUGGACACGGUACAGGCUUUGCUGGAGUUUCAAGCUGAUGUUAACAUUGAAGAUAAUGAAGGGAACCUGCCCUUGCACUUGGCUGCCAAAGAAGGCCACCUCCCUGUGGUGGAGUUCCUUGUGAAGCACACAGCCAGCAAUGUGGGGCAUCGGAAUCAUAAGGGGGACACCGCCUUCGACUUGGCCAGGUUCUAUGGAAGAAAUGAGGUCAUUAGCCUGAUGGAGGCAAAUGGGGUCGGGGGAGCCACAAAUCUACAACAUUUAAAAAAAAAAAACAGCUUGGUAAUGGCCGGCAAGUGAGCAAAGGUUGUCCUGCUACCACAGCACCUGCAAAAGCACAAGUGGAAUUCACAUAUUUUGCUUCCUGUGCUCUAAAAUGGAUUCUGAACCGUCCAGAGAAACCAGCACAUAGAAAGAGGGGGACCUGAGAUGAGAGCAGAGUUUGUUCAUUUUUAAAAUUACACAGAUCCUACUGGAAGAGUUUGGAACAUAACCUAAGGCUAGCAAAUGAAGUUUCUGGCUAUCAACACAAAAGAAUUUUAAAGAUCAGUGCUCUCUAAGGAAAAUACUCUCAUAAUAAAAGGAUGAAAAUAGCUCCUUUUUAGCAGAAAAGAUUGUAUAGAGGAUUGAUACAAAAUUUUUCAUCAUUUCUAUCCCAAAGUAUAUUUCCUAUCAUUAUUUUGAAUUCAAAUAUAUGUAAUUUAAACAAGAGACAAUGUCUGAACACAGUGAGGAUUUUCUACUUAGCAACAGAACAUACUGAAGAAAAAUAAGAUCAAAGCGCCAGACAUAAAAAUACAAAAUAUAGAAUGACAAUGACAUCAAAUCAACAAAGACAAAAAUCAUCUGUCAAUUUGAGGGAAAGGAUUUCUCAGGAAAACUGUUUAGAUCUCCUUCUAUUAGAUUACAAGAUUACUGGAAGGUAACAUGAAUAUCCCAAAUCAAGUGGCCUCUGUUUAGGUCCCUGUGAUAGUUAUUUUUCGGAAGGAUUCUCUGAGGUUGUUUCAAUGUAAUUGUACAUAUAUUAGCUAUAAAAAGUGCUCCAUAAAAUCUUGAAUUAUACAGAAUUGCGUCAUCAUUUGAAGACUAGUAAAUUAUAUACACACACUUAUGAAAUUUGGAUUUUUUGUGGGUUUUUUUUUGAAACAAGGUUUCUCUGGGUUACCUCCCUGACUGUCCAGGAACUUUAUUUAUUUGGUUUACAUUUUAACGAGACAAAAGAAACACAUAAAUACGGUAUGAGUAUUUAUUUUGCACCUAUUUUUCUUACUUAAUAUUCAUAACUCCUUCAAGACAAGGGUUGGGGCCUUUUUAAAAAAUCCCAUUCUACUAAUCAGGAAACUCAGAAUUGAUGGAAAAUAAGCACUUGUCUGUUGAAACAAACUGGUAACUUAAUAAUGCACAAGGAUUCAAACUUGUGCCCUUUUUUAACUGUGGCCAGAUAGAAAAUUUUUCACCAAAUUGGCACAAAUCAGUCAAGUGGAUAAUUUUGUAUUGUGAGCCCAUCAUCAUGGUCACCUAAUAAGCUUAUGCUGUUGGGACUUCAGGAUUUCUGCAUCUGAAAAAUAGGAGAAAUACGGGGCCAGCCUGGUCUACUGAGCAAGUUCUAGGACAGGCUUCAAAACAAUUCAGAGAAUCCCUGUCUGGAAAAAACAAACAAACAAACAAACAAACAAACAAACAACAAAAGAGAAAUAAUCCCUAUGUUUUCAUGUUCUCAUAAAUAACAGCAAACUGUGUACAAAGAUUCUGUUCCCAAUAAGCCCUUUAUGAAUAAACCACAAGCAACCGAAAAACA